RNAcentral lists this ribosomal RNA (608 nucleotides) under uncultured bacterium. RNAcentral's name for it is "bacterial SSU rRNA". It matches the Rfam family "Bacterial small subunit ribosomal RNA", at positions 338 to 1533 of the family's 1533-position model. The record is from RNAcentral.
CCUACGGGAGGCAGCAGUGGGGAAUAUUGCGCAAUGGGCGAAAGCCUGACGCAGCGACGCCGCGUGAGGGAUGAAGGCCUUCGGGUUGUAAACCUCUUUCAGCAGGGACGAAGCGAAAGUGACGGUACCUGCAGAAGAAGCACCGGCUAACUACGUGCCAGCAGCCGCGGUAAUACGUAGGGUGCAAGCGUUGUCCGGAUUUAUUGGGCGUAAAGAGCUCGUAGGCGGUCUGUCGCGUCGGAUGUGAAAACCCAGGGCUCAACCCUGGGCCUGCAUUCGAUACGGGCAGACUUGAGUGUUGCAGGGGAGACUGGAAUUCCUGGUGUAGCGGUGAAAUGCGCAGAUAUCAGGAGGAACACCGGUGGCGAAGGCGGGUCUCUGGGCAACAACUGACGCUGAGGAGCGAAAGCGUGGGGAGCGAACAGGAUUAGAUACCCUGGUAGUCCACGCCGUAAACGGUGGGCGCUAGGUGUGGGGAACCUUCCACGUUCUCUGUGCCGCAGCUAACGCAUUAAGCGCCCCGCCUGGGGAGUACGGCCGCAAGGCUAAAAACUCAAAAGUAGUAGUACGACGUCGAGAGACGCGACGACGACGACGACGGAGGAGAG